UAAUAUAUUUGUCAUCAAAGAGAAUUCUACAAGUGAAACUCAGUGUAAUCUUUCUAUAACACUACUGAGAGAGGGAGUAGAAAGAUGUUUCUAGGUUGUGUCUUAACAAGUAAUAUACUUAAUUAUUCAAGACUCAUCCCAUGAAAAAUCUGAAAUGGUGAAUUUUUAGUAAGAAAAAAAUGAAAGAAGAAAACGAGGAAAGAAGAAAUGAAGAAACCAACAUCAAUUAAAUCUCCAAUAGAUAAUCAAACAAAAGGAGAUUUAUAAUUCACAGAAAAAUGUAAUGGCAAAUGUAUUAAUCAAAGCACCUUUAGUAUCUCUAGUUAUCAGAUAAAUUAGUACUCUUCUGAUGGUGGGAGUGAGCAUUGGCACAACCUUAAUGGAAAGAGAUUUAUUAACAUGCAUUGUGAAUUUUAAAAUAUUUAUACCCCUCACUCAGUAUAAUUCUAUUUCCAAAAGUCUAUCCAAAAGAAAAAAAUAUAUAUACAAGCAUCAUUUAUAAAAUUAUCCCUUAUUGUCUAUCUUAACAUAGGGAAAUUUGCCAAAAUAAGACAUUGAUAAAAUAAAUUAUGGGGAAAGAAGAAAGGAAUUAUUCAGCCACCAAGUAUUAUGUUUUUGUGUGAUAUGUGAAUUCCUAUCAUAUAAUAUUAAGGGCAAAACAAUGUCACUUGUACAUACAUUUUGAUAACAAAAUAUAACGAGAAAAAAAAGGACUAAGCAUCAAAUUUUAAUUAUGGUUAUAUCUAGGUGGUAACUAUUUGGGUGAUUAUUUUCUCAUUUUUAAAGAAUUCUCCAUACUUUCUAAUUUUCUAUAUCCAGUAUUUAUUUAUCAUAAGAAGGAAGUUAUUUUUCAAAUAGAAAAUUGUGAAAAUUAUGGGGGGAAAAAGAUGACAUGUAUUCCUCAUUUGGCUUUUUUUUUUUUCCUCAUUUGGCUUUGAAACUACUUCAGUUUAAAAACAAACAACUACUUUGUUGUAAGGCAGAAGCUAGCACACCAUUGUAGAGCAAUUAUACCCCAAUAAAGAUGUUAAAAACAAACAAACAAACAAAAAAAAAACAAACAACUGCAAAAGUAACAGAGGGGGACAUUUUGCAGGAGACUUCCCAUUAACUACUAUAUAAAAUGAAGAUCUUCAAAUUAUGUUAGAAAACACGCUAUCUGCUAAUCUGUUUUAUUUUCCUCUAGAAAGAGAUAAAGACAAAAUUUAAGCCAAAGUAAGUUUAGCUCCAAAGCAAAUGCCCUUAUGACAGGAUUAUGCGUUUGCUUAGGCCAGGCAAAUAAGAAUUGUGUAUAUACGUAGUCUUCUCUUGGUAUCCGGGUGAGAUCAGUUCCAGAACUCCCCCACUUUCCUCCCCCAUGGAAACCAAAAUCCACAGAUGCUCAAGUCCCUUAUGUAAUUGUCAUAGUAUUUGCAUAUAACCUAUCCACAUCCUCCUGAUAUUUUAAAUUAUCUCUUUAUUACUUAUAAUAUGUAAGUAUUAUAAUGCAAUGUAAAUGCUAUAUAAAUGGUUGUAAAUAUAGUGUAAAUGCUAUGUAAAUAGUUGUAACACAUGGAAAAUUCAAGUUUUGCUUUUUGGAACUUUCUGAAAUUAUUUUUCUGAAUAUUUUCUAUGUGGAGCUCACAGAUACGAAGCGCUUAAUGUCUACUGUGGGGUUCUGUAAAGCAGAAUAGUCACUUCUCUCUCUUCUCUGUGCUUUCAACACCACUUCCCCUACUUCCUUUUUUUCUUUUCUCUUUCUUUGUCAAAUUGCUCCAAUUCUACAUUUUGAAUAGAUUUUUAUAUCAAAUUAACAUAUAAGAGAGAUGGCAAAUCUCACCCUGUAGGAAAUGGAAGGAUUUUUCAGACUAUGCUUUCACUAUUCUGUUACAGAAAAUUCCAUGAGCUCCUCUCUUGGAUUUAUCAUAAUCUCUGUUGACUAUAUGUAUUAACAUAAUUAAUUUAUACCAUAAUUAAUAUGAUUAACUAUAUAUGAAUUAGGUAGUACAUAUGUAAUUUUAUAUUAAUGUAAUAUAUUUAUAUAUAACUAAUAUUGAUUAAUAUAGCCAAAUUCUGGUGAAACUCUAUUAUAAUAUGGUAGUGAUAAUAAUACCACCACAAUAAUUAUUGUUACUAUUACAACUUGUUUUGAGCACCUAUUAUGUGCCAAGUAAAGUAUCAGACAUGAUUGUGAUUAUCUCAUUUUAUUCUCAAAAUAAUCCCAAGGGAUAAGAAAUAUCAUUCCAAUUUUAUUUCCAAUGAAACCUGGUCUUGAGUUCAAGUCAUUUGCCUGAGGUCAAAGAGGUAGUGAUGGAGGCAGGAUCUGAACUCAGGUUGUCUGACUCUAAAGGAAAUGCUCUGAAUCGUCAUGCUCUUAACCACUCAGUCCAUUCAGAAUAGACAUACUAGGGUUCUCUGCUAAGCACCUGGUUAGUGUUACCUGUGGCCUAUACACCACAGCGAUCAUAAUCACCAUUAAAAUCAAUAUAGACUUUUAGAACCCACCCCAGCCAAACCGGAUGAGCAUCUAUGGGGGUGUGGCCAGGGAUCUGCAUUUUAAACCCUCAUUUCAAGGGAUUCAUGUGCAUUCCCAACCUGUGAAAGACAGACUGACUGGAUUCCUUGAGAGGAGAAAAUGUUUCAUUCUCACUUUUGUCUCUCUGAGACCCAGCAUGAAGGUUUUGAGAAAUGAAGUAUUAUUGCCUGCCAUAUCAGUAAACAAAGGAUGUCACAGUCAUCAGCGACUGCAGCCCUUCAAUGGCAAGCAGGGAAACAUCCUGACCCUGCCCACCUGUGAAUGGCUGCAGGAAAGAAGAAAUUAACACAUCCCCUCCCUGAGUCUGGUGAAACCAGGAGAUAUUAUGCAAGACUUAUGGCCUUUUUACUUUACCUGCUCACCUCCCCCAUCUCUGUUCUAUAAAAGAAGCUAGCAUCCAGACCCUGGUAAGAUGGUUCUCUAGGACUCUAGUCUACCAUCUUCUCAGAUGCCUGGCUUUCUGAAUAAAGUCGCUGUUCCUUGCCUCAAUACCUUGGCUCCCGAUUUAUUGGCCUGUCGUGUGGCGAGCAGUGAGCUUGGACUCUGUAACAUGUUUACCUGCUCUGCCUGAUCCGAGCCUCACAAUAUUUAUUAUCAUUGUUGGGUAAAUCCACCUGAUUCCGGCACUUCUACUUAAUGAUACUCCAACAAUCCUCUAAUCUCUUUGACCUGUUUCUAGGAUAGCUUCCUGAUGAAUGCAUCCUACAUUGACCUCCUGCUGAUUCACACUAAUGUAUAUAUGGAUGUUUGACUAAGAAGAGAGAAGACGUCGUAAAUUCCAGGGGACUUUUAGUCCUUAAAGAGGAGACCCUUAUCUUCAAGAACCCAGACUAAA
Long non-coding RNA from Orcinus orca (killer whale), 3350 nucleotides. RefSeq lists it as uncharacterized. The transcript has 2 exons. The record is from RefSeq and is a predicted model, not a curated record. NCBI's taxonomy places the organism in Eukaryota, Metazoa, Chordata, Mammalia, Artiodactyla, Delphinidae.